GCUGGGCAUGGAGGUGCACACCUGUAAUCCCCGCUGCUCGGGAGGCUGAGACAGGAGGAUUGAGAGUUCAAAGCCAGCCUUAGCAAGAGCAAAGUGCUAAGCAACUCAGUGAGACCCUGUCUCUA
This 125-nucleotide small RNA is filed under the name Marmota monax (woodchuck). Lineage: Eukaryota; Metazoa; Chordata; Mammalia; Rodentia; Sciuridae. The record is from RNAcentral.